Long non-coding RNA from Eriocheir sinensis (Chinese mitten crab), 1897 nucleotides. RefSeq lists it as uncharacterized. The transcript is spliced from 4 exons. NCBI's taxonomy places the organism in Eukaryota, Metazoa, Arthropoda, Malacostraca, Decapoda, Varunidae. The record is from RefSeq and is a predicted model, not a curated record.
AUAGGAAGUAGGCGAUGUUAUAUAUGUUUAGAAAGAGGAGAGUGAGGAGAAUCGCGUAGUAGUAGUAGUAGUAGUAGUAGUAGUAGUAGUAGUAGUAGUUGUAGUAGAAGUAGUAGUAGUAGUAGUAGUAGGUGGAAAUAGGAAGUAGGCGAUGUUAUAUAUGUUUAGAAAGAGGAGAAUGAGGAGAAUCGUGUAGUAGUAGUAGUAGUAGUAGUAGUAGUAGUAGUAGUAGUAGUAGUAGUAGUAGUAGUAGUAGUAGUGACCUUAUAAGCUAAAAGAACACUUAUUUAAAUCUACCUUAGGCACAAAAUGACUUAGCAUCACACGAAGGAAUAAAAUGAUAAUAAUAAUAAUAAUAAUAAUAAUAAUAAUAAUAAUAAUAAUAAUAAUAAUAAUAAUAAUAAUAAUAAUAACAACAAUGACAAAAACAACAAAAGCUUUCCUCCGUGUUAAGAAUAUCGUACAAGAAAAUGACUUAGAGGGGAACACAGCAAUAAUAGCAAUAAUAAUAAUAAUAAUAAUAAUAAUAAUAAUAAUAAUAAUAAUAAUAAUAAUAAUAAUAAUAAUAAUAAUAAAGUAUGGCAGCUUAUCUCUACACCUGUUUUUUUUACCUUUAUUUUUGUCAUGGCACCAGUGAAAGGGAAGGAGGAGGAGGAGGAGGAGGAGGAGGAGGAGGAGGAGGAGGAAGAAGAAAACGGAAAAGAAAAAAAGAAAAGGAAGAAAAUUAAUAUGAAAAGGAAGAAAAAUAUCAAGAAAAUAAAGAAAAGAGAGAGAGAGAGAGAGAGAGAGAGAGAGAGAGAGAGAGAGAGAGAGAGAGAAAUGAAGAAAGGAAAGAAUAGAACAUAAUUUUAAGAAGGAACAGAGAGAGAGAGAGAAAGAAAAGAAAAUGGAGGGAAAAAAAGAGUGGAGAGAAGGAAGGAAGGAAGAAGAAGGGAAGGGAAGGAAAAAGGAGAGGAAAAAAAAAACGGAGAUAAAAAGAAAGGAAAAGAAAAGAGAAAAAAAAAGAAAAAUAAAUGAAGAAAAAGGUCAGGUAAGGUAAGGUUAGGUAAGGUAAGGUAAGGUUAGGUAAGGUCAGGUAAGGUAAGGUUAGGUUAGGUAAGGUCAGGUAAGGUAAGGUCACGUAAGGUAAGGUAAGGUUAGGUAAGGUAAGGUUAGGUUAGGUAAGGUCAGGUAAGGUAAGGUCAGGUAAGGUUAGGUUAGGUAAGGUAAGGUAAGGUAAGGUAAGGUAAGGUAAGGUUAGAUAAGGUUAGGUAAGGUAAGGUAAGGUUAGGUUAGGUAAGGUAAGGUUCAUUAGGGUAACACAAAGGUAAGCUCCAGUAAGGCAGGGCAGGUGUGUUUGGCUAAUUAGAACUGUCCACCUGUGCUCUCUCUCUCUCUCUCUCUCUCUCUCUCUCUCUCUCUCUCUUAAAAUUACUGUACAAUGUGAAAGUUUGUGAGAUAAAAUUAAGAAAGUUAAGAAAGGAAGAAAGAAAGAAAGGAAGGAAGGAAAGAAGAAAGAAAGAAAGAAAGAAAGGAAGGAAGGAAGGAAGGAAAGAAAGGAAGGAAGGAAGGAAGGGAGGAAAGAAAGAAAGAAAGGAAGGAAGGAAGGAAGGAAGGAAAGAAAGAAAGAAAGGAAGGAAAGAUAAAUAAAGAGAAAAAUUUGACAUAAGUAAAAACAGAAUAAAAAGAAAAGAUAGAAAAAGAAAUAAGACAAAGAGAAAGAAAAAAAAACAGAGAAUAUAAAUAAAAGAGAAAAAUUAGUUAAUGAGAAAAUAAAGAAAGCGAUUGAGAAAGAAAGAAAGAAAGAAAGAAAGAAGGAAAGAGAAAGAAAUGGAAAAAUUGAAAGAUUAGAGAGAAAAUUGGAGAGAAAAUUAAAGAAAAUAAAUAUAAAUGAAAAUUGGAGAUAAAAUUAGAGAAA